CAAUAGCGUAUAUUUAAGUUGUUGCAGUUAAAAAGCUCGUAGUUGGAUUUCGGUAAAGAGCGACCGGUCCGCCGUUUGGUGUGCACUGGUUGGUUUUAACUUCCUGUAGAGGACGUGCUCUGGGUUUAACGACCUGGACUCGGAGUCUACGUGGUUACUUUGAAAAAAUUAGAGUGUUCAAAGCGGGCUUACGCUUGAAUAUUUCAGCAUGGAAUAACACUAUAGGACUCCUGUCCUAUUUCGUUGGUCUCGGGACGGGAGUAAUGAUUAAGAGGAACAGUUGGGGGCAUUCGUAUUUCAUUGUCAGAGGUGAAAUUCUUGGAUUUAUGAAAGACGAACUUCUGCGAAAGCAUUUGCCAAGGAUGUUUUCAUUAA
This 375-nucleotide ribosomal RNA is filed under the name uncultured eukaryote. Its description in RNAcentral is "partial 18S ribosomal RNA". It matches the Rfam family "Eukaryotic small subunit ribosomal RNA", at positions 592 to 976 of the family's 1831-position model. The record is from RNAcentral.